Molecule: ribosomal RNA, 460 nt
Filed under: uncultured bacterium
Lineage: Bacteria
Description: partial 16S ribosomal RNA
Rfam family: Bacterial small subunit ribosomal RNA
Source: RNAcentral
CCUACGGGUGGCAGCAGUGAGGAAUAUUGGUCAAUGGGCGGGAGCCUGAACCAGCCAAGUCGCGUGAGGGAAGACGGUCCUAUGGAUGGUAAACCUCUUUAGGCGGGGAGCAAGGCCGGGCACGCGUGCCCGGAGGGAGAGGACCCGCAGAAGAAGCAGCGGCAAACUCCGGGCCAGCAGCCGCGGUAAUACGGAGGAUGCGAGCGUUAGCCGGAUUGAUUGGGUUGAAGGGGUGCGUAGGCGGAUUUUUAAGUCAGCGGUAAAAUGUCCGGGCUCAACCCGGGCCGGCCGUUGAAACUGGGGGUCUUGAGUGGGCGCGAGGUAUGCGGAAUGCGUGGUGUAGCGGUGAAAUGCAUAGAUAUCACGCAGAACUCCGAUUGCGAAGGCAGCAUACCGGCGCCCGACUGACGCUGAGGCACGAAAGCGUGGGGAUCGAACAGGAUUAGAUACCCUUGUAGUC